Molecule: non-coding RNA, 135 nt
Filed under: Burkholderiales bacterium
Lineage: Bacteria; Pseudomonadati; Pseudomonadota; Betaproteobacteria; Burkholderiales
Description: Glycine sequence
Rfam family: Glycine riboswitch aptamer
About the family: This family represents the bacterial glycine riboswitch.
Source: RNAcentral
GUGAUCCUCACUGGAGAGAGCCCGGUAGCAGCUGCAAAGCCAUGCAAGCCGGGCCACCGAAGGGGCAAGCCUUAACCGCGGUCGCAUCGGCUGCGAGGGGUCAAUCUCUCAGGUAAAGCGGACAGCGAGGGCAAG